AACGAACGCUGGCGGCAGGCUUAACACAUGCAAGUCGAACGCCCCUUUCGGGGGGAGUGGCAGACGGGUGAGUAACGCGUGGGAACGGGCCAUUCAGAUUGGAAUAACACAGGGAAACUUGGGCUAAUACCGGAUACGCCCUUAGGGGGAAAGAUUUAUAGCUGAAGGAUCGGCCCGCGUCUGAUUAGCUGGUUGGUGAGGUAAGGGCUCACCAAGGCGCGGAUCAGUAGCUGGUCUGAGAGUAUGAUCAGCCACAUUGGGACUGAGACACGGCCCAAACUCCUACGGGAGACAGCAGUGGGGAAUAUUGGACAAUGGGCGCAGGCCUGAUCCAGCCAGGCCGCGUGAGUGAUGACGGCCUUAGGGUUGUAAAGCUCUUUCGCACGCGACGAUAAUGACGGUAGCGUGAGAAGAAGCCCCGGCUAACUUCGUGCCAGCAGCCGCCGUAA
Molecule: ribosomal RNA, 449 nt
Filed under: uncultured bacterium
Lineage: Bacteria
Description: partial 16S ribosomal RNA
Rfam family: Bacterial small subunit ribosomal RNA
Source: RNAcentral